AUAUAUACAAAGUUGAUAUAGAACGGUUACAUUUCAAGAAUAAGAAGAAAUAUCAAAGUAAAAACCGUAUCCACAUGCAAUCCUCGUGAUUCUGAAUUCUCUUCCUCUCUCUCUACGCUGGAGGCCGUGCAGUUUUACAUUUUCCGUUCAGGAAAUCGAAAAUGAGCAACGAAGAAUACAAAACGUCGCCGUACAGGCGUUACCAGAAUGAUCCUGAAGCUGGUGCCAGUCGCCCCGACUUCUAUGAAGAUGAUGAAGCGGGUUCUGGAACGUUUGAUAUACCUAGAACCAAAAGUGCUUCACUCGAACGGUUGCGUAGGUGGAGGCAAGCUGCACUUGUGUUGAAUGCUUCUCGUCGAUUUCGGUAUACUCUGGACUUGAAAAAGGAAGAAGAACGGAAGCAAUCGCUUGCUAAAUUUAGAUCGCAUAUUCAAGUUCUUCGGGCCGCUAAUCGCUUCCAAAAUAAUGUGAAAGAAAAUGUACCAAAAGCUCCAGGGCCGUUACCUCAUUCAACUACCACCCGUGUUGGCAAUUUCGAUAUCAGCUUGGAGGAGCUAGUUUCAAUGACCAGGGAAAAUGAUCUUUCUCUUCUGCAGCAAUGUGGAGGGGUUAAAGGAGUGGCAGAUAAAUUAAAAUCGGACUUGGAGAAAGGUAUACCUGGAGACGAUAUUGACCUCGUAAGCAGAAAGAAUGCUUAUGGAUCGAACACGUAUCCAAGGAAGAAAGGUCGAAGUUUUUGGAACUUUGUCUGGGAUGCUUGUAAAGACACAACUCUCAUUAUCUUGAUGGUUGCUGCAGCUGCUUCUUUAGCAUUAGGCAUAAAGACUGAGGGAAUAAAAGAAGGAUGGUAUGAUGGAGGAAGCAUUGCCAUGGCAGUCCUUAUUGUUAUUAUAUUUACAGCUGUUAGUGAUUACAAACAAUCCCUACAGUUCCAAAAUUUAAAUGAAGAGAAGCAAAAUAUACACAUGGAGGUCAUUCGAGGUGGGAGGAGAGUUAGUAUCUCAAUAUUUGACAUAGCUGUUGGGGAUGUUGUGCCUCUAAAAAUUGGUGAUCAGGUACCUGCUGAUGGAAUUGUAAUAACUGGUCAUUCUCUUUCAAUUGAUGAAUCAAGUAUGACAGGGGAGAGCAAAAUUGUACACAAGAAUUCAAAAGCACCAUUUCUGAUGUCUGGAUGCAAGGUUGCUGACGGUUAUGGCACCAUGCUGGUAACAGGUGUGGGAAUAAAUACCGAAUGGGGACUGCUUAUGUCAAGCAUAUCGGAGGAUAAUGGUGAAGAAACACCAUUACAGGUACGUUUAAAUGGGGUUGCCACUUUUAUUGGGAUUGUUGGCCUGGCGGUAGCUGUAGUCGUUCUGAUUGUUCUUGUGGCCAGAUUUUUUACCGGGCAUACCAGAAAUCCAGAUGGGACUGUCCAAUUUAAAGCAGGCCAGACUAAAGUUGGUGAAGCGAUAGAUGGGUUCAUAAAAAUAUUCACUGUUGCAGUGACCAUUGUAGUUGUUGCAGUACCGGAGGGGCUUCCUUUGGCUGUUACCCUGACGCUUGCAUACUCUAUGAGAAAAAUGAUGGCAGACAAGGCCUUGGUGCGGCGGUUAUCCGCCUGUGAAACCAUGGGGUCUGCAACUACCAUUUGCAGCGAUAAAACCGGGACUCUAACUCUCAAUCAGAUGACCGUGGUCGAGGCAUAUUCUUGUGGAAACAAAAUUGAUCCCCCAGAUAAUAAGUCCCUGCUUCCUUCUAAUAUCAUGUCUCUACUUAUUGAAGGCAUUGCACAGAACACGACUGGCAGUGUAUUUGUUCCUGAGGAAGGUGGAGUUCUGGAGGUUUCUGGUUCACCAACAGAAAAGGCCAUUCUUCAGUGGGGAAUUAAUCUUGGGAUGGAUUUCAAAGCUGCAAGAUCAAAUUCAGUGAUAAUUCAUGCCUUUCCAUUCAACUCAGAGAAAAAGCGAGGUGGUGUCGCUCUGAAACUGUCGGAUUCUGAAGUUCAUGUGCACUGGAAAGGGGCUGCAGAAAUAGUCCUUGCAUCUUGUACAAGUUACAUUGACACAAAUAAUCAUGUGGCACCAAUGGAUGAAGAUAAGUCAUUGCUUUUUAAGAAAGCAAUUGAAGAUAUGGCUGCCAGAAGCUUGCGGUGUGUUGCUAUUGCCUACAGGCCAUAUGAAAUGGCGAAGGUUCCAAGUGAUGAAGAGGAAUUGUCGAGUUGGAAGUUACCAGAGGGAGACCUUAUUUUACUGGCUAUUGUCGGUAUCAAGGAUCCUUGUCGUCCUGGCGUGAGAGAGGCAGUUCAAUUAUGUAUUAAUGCUGGUGUUAAGGUUCGGAUGGUCACUGGUGACAAUCUUCAAACAGCUAGGGCAAUAGCUUUGGAGUGUGGGAUAUUAGGAUCCAAUGCAGAUGCUACUGAGCCUAAUCUUAUUGAAGGAAAGAAAUUCCGUGAUUUGUCCGACACACAGAGACUAGAAGUGGCUGACAAAAUUUCUGUAAUGGGCAGGUCAGCUCCAAAUGAUAAACUCUUGCUUGUGCAAGCACUGAGGAAGAGGGGACACGUAGUUGCUGUUACUGGAGAUGGAACUAAUGAUGCUCCAGCACUACAUGAGGCAGAUAUAGGUCUUGCAAUGGGUAUCCAAGGCACUGAAGUUGCUAAAGAGAGCUCAGAUAUUAUCAUACUGGAUGAUAAUUUUUCCACGGUGGUAAAGGUCGUGAGGUGGGGAAGAUCUGUGUACGCAAAUAUACAGAAAUUUAUUCAAUUUCAGCUCACAGUUAAUGUUGCUGCCCUGAUAAUCAAUGUAGUGUCUGCGGUUUCUUCUGGUAAUGUCCCACUAAACGCUGUGCAGCUUCUGUGGGUAAAUCUUAUCAUGGAUACACUAGGAGCUCUUGCACUUGCAACGGAACCUCCCACUGAUCAUCUCAUGCGUAGAACUCCCGUGGGUAGAAGGGAACCUCUCAUAACAAAUAUCAUGUGGAGGAACUUGAUCAUACAGGCUCUAUAUCAAGUGACGGUUCUCCUCAUCCUCAAUUUUGGCGGAACAAAAAUCUUGAAUUUAGAGCAUGACACGAGUGACCAUGCAUUCAGGGAGAAGAAUACGCUGAUUUUUAAUGCAUUCGUUUUCUGCCAGAUAUUUAAUGAAUUUAAUGCUAGAAAGCCUGAUGAGAUUAAUGUGUGGAAGGGAGUAACCAAAAAUCGUCUUUUCAUGGGUAUUGUUGGCCUAACCCUUCUGCUCCAGGUGAUAAUAAUUAUGUUUCUUGGGAAGUUCGCUUCUACUGUUCGACUCAGUUGGAAGUUGUGGCUCGUUUCCAUAGCCAUUGGUGCUAUCAGCUGGCCACUUGCAGUCAUCGGAAAACUGAUUCCCGUACCCAAUAGGCCUUUUAGCGAAUUCUGUACAAAGAGAUCGCAUCAAUAAAGAGGUUGACUCUACCGCAUGGUUUUCUUCGCCAAAGUGAUCGACAUAGUGUGCUAACAUUUUCAUAGAUAGAAUAUGAAGUUUUUGGGAGUGCUGAAAUAUUGUGCUAUUGAAAACGUCGUAGCUUCUUGAUAUGGCAACAAGAAUAAGGGAAAUGGCUGUCUUAGCUAUGUAUGGAGAAUCAUGAUCAUUUGCAGAUGCGGAAUCUCUUUCGGCCAGAACAAGUAUUUGUGCUUUCCCGUAGACAAUUUUAAUCCUCGCUACACAGAAUUGGGGCUUAAUCAUGCAAAAGUAGCUUUGACAAUGACAUAUUCUUUAGAUUCUAUUUUACCUUCAAUCCAAAUUCUGAGCAAUAAUAAUGUAUUAACGUAUUUGAGGUUAAAAUCUUUGGAUGGGACUGUAUCGAGUUAUCCUAUUGUGAUUGAUGUUAUUACUACAAAUUCAUGUAAGUCGAGAUAUACAUUACAAUGCCAAGAGUCAUUGACUACUUUCGUUGA
Molecule: RNA transcript, 3892 nt
Organism: Olea europaea var. sylvestris
Lineage: Eukaryota; Viridiplantae; Streptophyta; Magnoliopsida; Lamiales; Oleaceae
Gene name: calcium-transporting ATPase 8, plasma membrane-type-like
Exons: 37
Source: RefSeq, a predicted model, not a curated record